CCCCAGCCUGGGCCGCUCAGGGCAGCACCCUUCUGGGUCACUAACCACCCCCCCCACCCUACCUGCUCCUGCUACGAGGUCUUCCUGGCCACAGGCGCCCCGUGACUGCCACCCAGUGGCCACCCUGGGGGUGACAGGCUUUCCGCAAGGCGGCGGCCUGCUUGGCGGUGGACCUGCUCACCCCCUGCUCCUUCUCCCAGCCACAGACACGUCCACCGAGCAAAUGACAGUGGGCUCUGCUCUGCCGGCCCCGGUGGGCCGCCUGCCUGGGGGGCACAGCCAGAGGAAGCCCUCGGCCCGACGGCUGGGGGUCCCCGCUCUCGCGGGACACCGACCCGCAGCAUAAAGGAACACCACCGGGCAGCAGCAGGCGGGGUUGCGAGGGGCAGAACUUCCGUCUGCGGGACAUCGGCCAGUCUCUUCAGACUUUUCUGUGAACAGCAGCUUGUUUUCCCUUUGGGGACCCUCUCCCCACUCUUGGGCUACAGAGCCUGGACACUCAAGCUCGGCGGCUCGGCCUGUCCUGGGACGCCCGAGUUUGGGGUUGACUCUGGUGGGGUCUGGGAGAGCUCAUCCGGAUCCUGGCUCUCCUCUCUUCAUGGGGGGAUCUGAACUGCUGCAGUGCGGUCCCCUUUUGAGGAGAGGCUGCCUGACAAUGAAGUCAUGCAGAGGAAAGCUGGACUGAGGCAGAGGAGGAAUGGGUGAAGCACCUGGAUCGAGCCAUACCUGAAAGCUAAUACCCAGGCUUUUCAGUUACAUAAGCCGAAACAUUUCUUUUGUACAAGUCAUUUUGAACCUUGUUUCUCUACCAUAUGAUCAGAAGACUCGCAGCUAAUGCAAGGUGUAUGGCCCACAAAAGAUGAACAAUCUUAGCCUAUUUUUCUCUCAGGUUUCUUAGUACAGUGAUUUGUAGGAGCAAUUAGUAUAUUAGAAAGCUUUUAUCACAUACUUUGCAAAUGUUGUCUCGGGUUUGUAAUUUGUGUGUGUGUUUGUAUAUUUUUGUUUAUGAAAUUUUUAUCAUGCAUAAUUUUAAAAAUUGUUAAAUAAUCAAAGGUUUAUCCUUUUAAAUAUUUUAAUUUUUCUCUAUAUUCUUAAGGAAAUGCCCUUUAUCAGAUCAAGGAAAUAUUUUCUA
This is a long non-coding RNA of Mustela lutreola (European mink), 1132 nucleotides long. RefSeq lists it as uncharacterized. The transcript has 2 exons. Lineage: Eukaryota; Metazoa; Chordata; Mammalia; Carnivora; Mustelidae. The record is from RefSeq and is a predicted model, not a curated record.